AUUGAACGCUGGCGGCAGGCCUAACACAUGCAAGUCGAGCGAGCGGCGGACGGGUGAGUAAUGUAUGGGGACUGCCCGAUAGAGGGGGAUAACUACUGGAAACGGUGGCUAAUUCCGCAUACUGUCGGCAAACCCGUAUGGGAUUCGCUAGUAGGUAAGGUAAUUGCUUACCUAGGCGACGAUCCCUAGAUUGUCUGGGCGGAUGAUCAGCCACACUGGGACUUGGGCACGGCCCAGACUCCUACGGAGGCAGCAGGGGGGAAAAUUGCACAAUGGGCGCAAGGCUGAUGCAGCCACGCCGCGGGAGUGGUGACGGCCUUCCGGUUGUAAAGCUCUGUUAAUCGGGAGACGGUACCGGAAUAGAAAGCCACGGCUAACUACGUGCCAGCAGCCGCGGUAAUAC
RNAcentral lists this ribosomal RNA (403 nucleotides) under uncultured bacterium. RNAcentral describes it as "partial 16S ribosomal RNA". It matches the Rfam family "Bacterial small subunit ribosomal RNA", at positions 30 to 526 of the family's 1533-position model. The record is from RNAcentral.